AAUUCGCCCUUAGAGUUUGAUCCUGGCUCAGGACGAACGCUGGCGGCGUGCUUAACACAUGCAAGUCGAACGGAGUGCCUCGGAAAGAGAUUUCGGUCAAUGGAAGAGGUUACUUAGUGGCGGACGGGUGAGUAACGCGUGAGGAACCUGCCUUUCAGAGGGGGACAACAGUUGGAAACGACUGCUAAUACCGCAUAACAUAUGUUUGUCGCAUGGCAGAUAUAUCAAAGAUUUAUCGCUGAGAGAUGGCCUCGCGUCUGAUUAGCUGGUUGGUAGGGUAACGGCCUACCAAGGCGACGAUCAGUAGCCGGACUGAGAGGUUGGCCGGCCACAUUGGGACUGAGAUACGGCCCAGACUCCUACGGGAGGCAGCAGUGGGGAAUAUUGGGCAAUGGGCGCAAGCCUGACCCAGCAACGCCGCGUGAAGGAAGAAGGCUUUCGGGUUGUAAACUUCUUUUAAGGGGGAAGAGCAGAAGACGGCACCCCUUGAAUAAGCCACGGCUAACUACGUGCCAGCAGCCCCGGUAAUACGUAGGUGGCAAGCGUUGUCCCGGGAUUUACUGGGGUGUAAAAGAGAGUGCAGCCGGCGAGACAAGUCUGAUGUUAAAUCCUCGGGCUCAACCCGUGAACUGCAUUUGAAACUGUUUCCCUUGAGUGUCGGAGAGGUAAUCGGAAUUCCUUGUGUAGCGGUGAAAUGCGUAGAUAUAAGGAAGAACACCAGUGGCGAAGGCGGAUUACUGGACGAUAACUGACGGUGAGGCGCGAAAGCGUGGGGAGCAAACAAAAGGAGAUACCCUGGUAGUCCCCGCUGUAAACGAUGGAUACUAGGUGUGCGGGGACUGACCCCCUGCGUGCCGGAGUUAACACAAUAGGGUAACGCACCUGGGGGAGUACGAUCGCAAGGUUGAAACUCCAAGGAAUGACGAGGGGCCCGCACAAGCGGUGGAUUAUGUGGUUUAAUUCGAAGCAACGCGAAGAACCUUACCAGGGCUUGACAUCCUGCUAACGAAGUAGAGAUACAUUAGGUGCCCUUCGGGGAAAGCAGAGACAGGUGGUGCAUGGUUGUCGUCAGCUCGCGUCGUGAGAUGUUAGGUUAAGUCCUGCAACGAGCGCAACCCUUGUCCCAUGUUGCCAGCAUUGAGUUGGGGACUCAUGGGAGACUGCCGGCGUCAAGCCGGAGGAAGGUGGGGAUGACGUCAAGUCAUCAUGCCCCUUAUGCCCUGGGCUGCACACGUGCUACAAUGGCCGGCACAGCGGGCCGCGACUGCGCGAGCAGGAGCGAAUCCCCCAAAGCCGGUCCCAGUUCGGAUCGCAGGCUGCAACCCGCCUGCGUGAAGCCGGAGUUGCUAGUAAUCGCGGAUCAGCAUGCCGCGGUGAAUACGUUCCCGGGCCUUGUACACACCGCCCGUCA
RNAcentral lists this ribosomal RNA (1411 nucleotides) under uncultured bacterium. Its description in RNAcentral is "partial 16S ribosomal RNA". It matches the Rfam family "Bacterial small subunit ribosomal RNA". The record is from RNAcentral.